ACGAGUCCUUAACUGACGCUAAUGCUCGAAAGUGCGGGUAUCGAACAGGAUUAGAUACCCUGGUAGUCCGCACGGUAAACGAUGGAUGCCCGCUGUUGGCGAUAUACUGUCAGCGGCCAAGCGAAAGCGUUAAGCAUCCCACCUGGGGAGUACGCCGGCAACGGUGAAACUCAAAGGAAUUGACGGGGGCCCGCACAAGCGGAGGAACAUGUGGUUUAAUUCGAUGAUACGCGAGGAACCUUACCCGGGCUUGAACUGCAGCCGAACGAUAGAGAGAUCUUGAGGUCCUUCGGGACGGCUGUGGAGGUGCUGCAUGGUUGUCGUCAGCUCGUGCCGUGAGGUGUCGGCUUAAGUGCCAUAACGAGCGCAACCCCUUUCAUUAGUUGCCAUCAGGUUAUGCUGGGCACUCUAGUGAUACUGCCACCGUAAGGUGUGAGGAAGGUGGGGAUGACGUCAAAUCAGCACGGCCCUUACGUCCGGGGCUACACACGUGUUACAAUGGGUGGUACAGAGAGUAAACUGCCGGCAACGUCAGUUCAAUCAAUAAAGCCAUCCUCAGUUCGGAUUGGGGUCUGCAACCCGACCCCAUGAAGCUGGAUU
RNAcentral lists this ribosomal RNA (600 nucleotides) under uncultured bacterium. RNAcentral describes it as "bacterial SSU rRNA". It matches the Rfam family "Bacterial small subunit ribosomal RNA", at positions 728 to 1332 of the family's 1533-position model. The record is from RNAcentral.